AUUCUAAAUUUAUAAUAGAAUUUUAUUUUUUAGUCAAAAAGCUAAAAUUUAUUUAAAAGACGAGAAGACCCUAUAAAUCUUUAUAUUUAAUUUAUUAUGAUUUUAUAGAUUAUUUUUGUUAUAAUAAUUAAUAAUAUUUUAUUGGGGUGAUAUUAAAAUUUAAUAAACUUUUAAUUAUUAAAAUCAUUAAUUAAUGAGUAAUUGAUCCGUUAAUAACGAUUAAAAAAUUAAGUUACCUUAGGGAUAACAG
RNAcentral lists this ribosomal RNA (250 nucleotides) under Morellia hortorum. Its description in RNAcentral is "partial 16S ribosomal RNA". The record is from RNAcentral. Lineage: Eukaryota; Metazoa; Arthropoda; Insecta; Diptera; Muscidae.